Molecule: long non-coding RNA, 862 nt
Organism: Mugil cephalus (flathead mullet)
Lineage: Eukaryota; Metazoa; Chordata; Actinopteri; Mugiliformes; Mugilidae
Exons: 3
Source: RefSeq, a predicted model, not a curated record
UUGUGACGUAUCUCCUUCUACGUCUAGCACGUUCAAACAGCUUUUCGUGGACUUUUAUGGAACUAAAAGUAAUUUUUGGACUGAAGAUACGACUUAAAUUGACAGUUUGGACCUUUAGCGAAACAAACGGAGCGUUUUGACCUGGAUAAUAUUGAUUGUCGGAGCGAUAUGAGGCUUUUCUGGUUACACCCACGGAUGCUCCAAACUAAACCCAAACUCACCACCAGCCUUUGAGAACUGAAGAACCUCCACGGAUGAAACGUCUUUAAGAAACUCUACAGAACUCUCUCUCCUUUGACCUCCUCGGAUACUCGCCUCCCUCCUCGCGCCGUCAUCUGUCCACUGCAGGAUUUCAGGUUUCCGCGGGCAGAGCUGGGAGUCUGGAGAGGACUUCAGGGAAUCAGGGAACGGAGAGAGGACGGAGGACUCUGGUACCAGAUGAGAUGAGGAGGUGGUGGAGGAGGAAGUACGGAGGGCUUUUCACAUCCGAGCCAGAUGCUUCAGACGCUCAUUAGCCAUGAAGGAAUAGUAAAUGUACCAACAUCUGUGUCACUAAUUGCACAGGGCUUAAAAAAAAAAAACUACCCUUAUUUCUCUUUCAAAUAAAUCUGCCUCAGUCUCACGAGGAUGUUUGAGAGAGGAACCCAAAAAGACGUUUGCAAGAAGUGAAAUUGGAAGGAAAUGCCACAAAUCUCUGGAACCAAUCCUCUCAUGACUGGACAUAGAAAUAUAAUAAACUGAGUCUGGACCUUGUGAAUGACGCCUUAUUGCUGCACCGGAGCUGUACUCUGUGGUGGAAGUGGUACUGAAAGCUGACAGCCAAUAAAAUUCAUUUCCUUUAGUCAGAUUUGUCCUAAGUGAC